ACGCUCGACACCUACGGGAGGCAGCAGUGGGGAAUAUUGCACAAUGGGGGAAACCCUGAUGCAGCGACGCCGCGUGAGUGAAGAAGUAUUUCGGUAUGUAAAGCUCUAUCAGCAGGGAAGAAAAUGACGGUACCUGACUAAGAAGCCCCGGCUAACUACGUGACAGCAGCCGCGGUAAUCUGAGCGGGCUGGCAAGGC
Molecule: ribosomal RNA, 198 nt
Filed under: uncultured bacterium
Lineage: Bacteria
Description: partial 16S ribosomal RNA
Rfam family: Bacterial small subunit ribosomal RNA
Source: RNAcentral